ACUUAAUUCAACAUCGAGGUCGCAAUCCUAAUUAUUGAUAAGAACUCGUUAAUUAAAUAACGCUGUUAACCCUAGAGUAACUUAAUCUAACUAUAUCUAUAUAUAUAUAUAAAAAUUUAUACCUUCAUUUAUUACCCCAAUAAAAAAAUUUUUCAUUUCAAAAAGCUUCUAGGGUCUUCUCGUCCCAAAGAUGUAUAAAAACAUUCUUAUUUUUAAUUUAAAUUCAAACUCAUUAAACAAAACAUUCCUAUCAGUAUCUACCCUUCAUACCAGUCCACAAUUAAUAAA
RNAcentral lists this ribosomal RNA (288 nucleotides) under Neogonyleptes docilis. Its description in RNAcentral is "partial large subunit ribosomal RNA". The record is from RNAcentral. Lineage: Eukaryota; Metazoa; Arthropoda; Arachnida; Opiliones; Gonyleptidae.